AACGUAGGUACCGAGCGUUAUCCGGAUUUACUGGGCGUAAAGGGCGCGUAGGCGGCCUGCUAAGUCGAACGUGAAAUCCCCGAGCUCAACUCGGGAACUGCGUCCGAUACUGACAGGCUUGAAUCCGGGAGAGGGAUGCGGAAUUCCAGGUGUAGCGGUGAAAUGCGUAGAUAUCUGGAGGAACACCGGUGGCGAAGGCGGCAUCCUGGACCGGCAUUGACGCUGAGGCGCGAAAGCUAGGGGAGCAAACGGG
RNAcentral lists this ribosomal RNA (253 nucleotides) under uncultured bacterium. RNAcentral's name for it is "partial 16S ribosomal RNA". It matches the Rfam family "Bacterial small subunit ribosomal RNA", at positions 524 to 776 of the family's 1533-position model. The record is from RNAcentral.